RNAcentral lists this ribosomal RNA (465 nucleotides) under uncultured bacterium. Its description in RNAcentral is "partial 16S ribosomal RNA". It matches the Rfam family "Bacterial small subunit ribosomal RNA", at positions 28 to 507 of the family's 1533-position model. The record is from RNAcentral.
GACGAACGCUGGCGGCGUGCUUAACACAUGCAAGUCGAACGGAAAGGCCCUGCUUGCAGGGUACUCGAGUGGCGAACGGGUGAGUAACACGUGGGUGAUCUGCCCUGCACUUCGGGAUAAGCCUGGGAAAUUGGGUCUAAUACCGGAUAGGAGCCAUUUUUAGUGUGAUGGUUGGAAAGUUUUUUCGGUGUAGGAUGAGCUCGCGGCCUAUCAGCUUGUUGGUGGGGUAAUGGCCUACCAAGGCGGCGACGGGUAGCCGGCCUGAGAGGGUGGACGGCCACAUUGGGACUGAGAUACGGCCCAGACUCCUACGGGAGGCAGCAGGGGGGAAUAUUGCACAAUGGGCGCAAGCCUGAUGCAGCGACGCCGCGUGGGGGAUGACGGCCUUCGGGUUGUAAACUCCUUUCGCUAGGGACGAAGCUUUUUGUGACGGUACCUAGAUAAGAAGCACCGGCUAACUACGUG